RNAcentral lists this ribosomal RNA (514 nucleotides) under uncultured bacterium. Its description in RNAcentral is "bacterial SSU rRNA". It matches the Rfam family "Bacterial small subunit ribosomal RNA", at positions 40 to 507 of the family's 1533-position model. The record is from RNAcentral.
CGGGCGUGCCUAAUACAUGCAAGUCGAACGCUAUUGUGGUUGAAAUGAUAUGAAGAACUUGUUCAGAUUUGAUUUUCAACAUUGCAAUGAGUGGCGAACGGGUGAGUAACACGUGGGAAACCUACCUCUUAGCAGGGGAUAACAUUUGGAAACAAAUGCUAAUACCGUAUAAUAAUUAAAACCGCAUGGUUUUAGUUUAAAGAUGGUCUUGCUAUCACUAAGAGAUGGUCCCGCGGUGUAUUAGUUAGUUGGUGAGGUAAUGGCUCACCAAGACAAUGAUACAUAGCCGAGUUGAGAGACUGACCGGCCACAAUGGGACUGAGACACGGCCCAUACUCCUACGGGAGGCAGCAGUAGGGAAUCUUCCACAAUGGACGAAAGUCUGAUGGAGCAACGCCGCGUGUGUGAUGAAGGGUUUCGGCUCGUAAAACACUGUUGUAAGAGAAGAAUGACAUUGAGAGUAACUGUUCAAUGUGUGACGGUAUCUUACCAGAAAGGAACGGCUAAAUACGUG